UACGGGGGGGGCAAGCGUUGUUCGGAAUUACUGGGCGUAAAGGGCGCGUAGGCGGCGGGGUAAGUCGGGUGUGAAAUCUCAGAGCUCAACUCUGAAACUGCACUCGAUACUGCUCUGCUUGAGGACUGGAGAGGAGACUGGAAUUCACGGUGUAGCAGUGAAAUGCGUAGAUAUCGUGAGGAAGACCAGUGGCGAAGGCGGGUCUCUGGACAGUUCCUGACGCUGAGGCGCGAAGGCCAGGGGAGCAAACGGG
Molecule: ribosomal RNA, 253 nt
Filed under: uncultured bacterium
Lineage: Bacteria
Description: partial 16S ribosomal RNA
Rfam family: Bacterial small subunit ribosomal RNA
Source: RNAcentral